RNAcentral lists this unclassified non-coding RNA (375 nucleotides) under Hevea brasiliensis (rubber tree). Lineage: Eukaryota; Viridiplantae; Streptophyta; Magnoliopsida; Malpighiales; Euphorbiaceae. The record is from RNAcentral.
GUCACACCAAUCCGUAGAUAAUUAAUAACAGGAGUAAUAGCUUGUGCACUUGUAAACAAAAUAAUGUGUUUAUGUUAAUAUGUUGAUUCUGCUUGUAGAUUUUCUUUCAUGAUAUCAUGAAGCCUGGCUGAAGGAACUCAGAUAUAAAAAAUAAAUUGGAAGUAUGCCAAAAUAUUUUAGAACACCAUUGUAAUCUUGCAUGUGUCAUCAUACAUAUGUAUCGGUGUUCCUUUGAAGUGGCAACUUGGACUGUGAUUGUUGCUUUUACCUUUUUUACCUGAUAGCCACCAUUGUUGUUCUUCUGCUGCUUUUAUGAAUGCGUGAAAUAAUUAAUGAGUUCCUUGGACUCUACUUUGUAAGCAUAUGCUCAUAGGG